GGGAUGGAGCAGCUCGGUAGCUCGUCGGGCUCAUAACCCGAAGGUCGUUGGUUCAAAUCCAGCUCCC
Molecule: transfer RNA, 67 nt
Filed under: Ruminococcus sp. CAG:379
Lineage: Bacteria; Bacillati; Bacillota; Clostridia; Eubacteriales; Oscillospiraceae
Description: transfer RNA-Met(CAT)
Rfam family: tRNA
About the family: Transfer RNA (tRNA) molecules are approximately 80 nucleotides in length.
Source: RNAcentral